ACGCAACCAGAAUGGUCUCGAGUUAGAGUUCAGAAACACAUACCACAGAGGUAAUGCUCAACCGGGAGACCACUGCAUUUUUGGUUGUGUUCAGCCAGCUGGAAAACAAAUCUACACUUUACUGCAUUAGACAACCUUUGUGGAAAAGACAGAAACAUUUCUGGUAUGAGACUUUCCUCACCAAAGAAAACCCAGCAAGGAAUUCUGCAACCAAGCAAGAAUCCCAAUCAACUUUCCAUUCUUCAAAACCAGUGCCCUUUAUUCUUCAACUGCUUUCAUCCAAAAUCUCCUAUGAACUCCAGCAAUGAGACUGCAAGUUCAACUGGACACAAUGCCAUUCAUGUGCAACCACUGAACUCCAGCCUUUCUAGCGCUUAAUGCAGCAAUUACAAAAGCCUCAUGAACACACUGGUGUUACAAGACAGGACAAGGACUUCAAAAGGGGGAAACAUUUGGAAAGAUUUCAAUAUCUCUUCUGUACAUUUACAGAAUGACCUUAAAGUGUGUUUUGUUUCCUGCAUUUAUUUUAUUCUUCACUGUUAAUGAAAAUUACACAUACUUAAGUUGUUCUUUAAGUGAAAAAAGAACAGAUGUAAAAAUAAUUUAUGUGACCUUGGCAUAGCAAUCUCUGAGUUUUCUUGAAAACUUUACUUUCAUAAGAAAGGCCUAAUAAUUUUU
This 678-nucleotide long non-coding RNA is filed under the name Coturnix japonica (Japanese quail). Its description in RNAcentral is "lncRNA (ENSCJPG00005001213.1)". Lineage: Eukaryota; Metazoa; Chordata; Aves; Galliformes; Phasianidae. The record is from RNAcentral.